GACGAACGCUGGCGGCGUGCCUAAUACAUGCAAGUUGAGCGAUGAAGUUUGGUGCUUGCACCAAUUUGAAGAGCAGCGAACGGGUGAGUAACGCGUGGGGAAUCUGCCUUUGAGCGGGGGACAACAUUUGGAAACGAAUGCUAAUACCGCAUAACAACUUUAAACAUAAGUUUUAAGUUUGAAAGAUGCAAUUGCAUCACUCAAAGAUGAUCCCGCGUUGUAUUAGCUAGUUGGUGAGGUAAAGGCUCACCAAGGCGAUGAUACAUAGCCGACCUGAAAAGGUGAUCGGCCACAAUGGGACUGAGACACCGCCCAAACUCCUACGGGAGGCAGCAGUAGGGAAUCUUCGGCAAUGGACGAAAGUCUGACCGAGCAACGCCGCGUGAGUGAAGAAGGUUUUCGGAUCGUAAAACUCUGUUGGUAGAGAAGAACGUUGGUGAGAGUGGAAAGCUCAUCAAGUGACGGUAACUACCCAGAAAGGGACGGCUAACUACGUG
This 497-nucleotide ribosomal RNA is filed under the name uncultured bacterium. RNAcentral describes it as "partial 16S ribosomal RNA". It matches the Rfam family "Bacterial small subunit ribosomal RNA", at positions 28 to 507 of the family's 1533-position model. The record is from RNAcentral.